AGUCAGGGGCCAGUUGCAUUUCUCAUGCAUCCAAGAGAAGUAAUGUCGGAGAGUUAUAUAGCCUUGGUUCUGUAAGCAAGCAGCUUAUGGGCAGCAUGGCACACAGUCCCUCAAGGCCGAACAUGAGGGUGAGGGGUGGGUGUGAGGAAAGACAGCUCUGAACAUAAUGAACCUGCCCCAUCCUUACUGGCCGUGCCUUCUGGAUAAGAAUUGGAAUGAAUAGUUAACACAGAGCCCUUACCGGGCCCUGCCCUGCCAGAGACUUGUCCAAACUCACGGGUGAGUUUCAGAGGCAAGAGCAGGGCCCAGGAGUCUGAGGCCUAGCAUUCUACUGCAUCCAAUUUUGGAGCCUUCGUGAUAAUUCAGCUAUGGAGCAUGGAUAUCCUCCACUGUGCUUCUCAAGGUCAUCGGAUACUGUCUCCCUCUGUGCCCACAGUGACCCUGGGAUAGAGCCAAGGGGGCGGUGGGAAGGUGUGUGCCCAUCGUCUUGCCCAUGGCCAGCUAACAUUGACUGCCCAGAAAGCGUCAUCUCCAAAUCUUUGUGGUUAAUGAGCUUAAGCUUAGUUCAUGCAAUGAGCUCAAAAAAGAAACCCACAUGUUUCGCAUUGUGAAAUAGGAAGCAUAAAGCCUUCCACUGAUAAAGGGACGCAGUGGAGAGGCAUGCGAACUUUAUCUGUGUCUGGUGUCCCAGACGUGAGAUUUUUUUUUUUUUUAGGACCACAUCUGUGGCAUGUAGAAGUUCCAAGGCUAAGGGUCCAGUCAGAGCUGCAGCUGCCAGCCUACGCCAUAGCCACAGCAACAUGAGAUCUGAGCCGAAACUGCAACCUAUACCACAGCUUACGGCAACACCAGAUCCUUCACCCACUGAGUGGGAGCAGGAAUUGAUCCCACAUCCUCAUGGAUACUAGUUGGGUUCAUUACCGCUAAGCCACAGAUGGGAACUCCCUCGGGUGAUUUUUUAAAAAUUAAAUCAGAAAUGAUUUAAUCAGUAUAAAUGACCCAGUCAUACUUACAUAUAUAUUCUUUUUCUCAUAUUAUCUUCCAUCAUGUUCUACCCCAAAAGAUUGGAUAUAGUUUUCUAUGCAAUAGGACCUCAUUGCUUAUCCAUUCUCACUGUAAUAGUUUGCAUCUAUAACCCCAGACUCUUAACCCAUCCCACUCCCUUU
This 1166-nucleotide long non-coding RNA is filed under the name Sus scrofa (pig). RNAcentral describes it as "lncRNA (ENSSSCG00000055721.1)". The record is from RNAcentral. Lineage: Eukaryota; Metazoa; Chordata; Mammalia; Artiodactyla; Suidae.